This 252-nucleotide ribosomal RNA is filed under the name uncultured bacterium. RNAcentral's name for it is "partial 16S ribosomal RNA". It matches the Rfam family "Bacterial small subunit ribosomal RNA", at positions 524 to 776 of the family's 1533-position model. The record is from RNAcentral.
UACGUAGGUCCCAAGCGUUGUCCGGAUUUAUUGGGCGUAAAGCGAGCGCAGGUGGUUUAUUAAGUCUGGUGUAAAAGGCAGUGGCUCAACCAUUGUAUGCAUUGGAAAUUGGUAGACUUGAGUGCAGGAGAGGAGAGUGGAAUUCCAUGUGUAGCGGUGAAAUGCGUAGAUAUAUGGAGGAACACCGGUGGCGAAAGCGGCUCUCUGGCCUGUAACUGACACUGAGGCUCGAAAGCGUGGGGAGCAAACAGG